Molecule: ribosomal RNA, 253 nt
Filed under: uncultured bacterium
Lineage: Bacteria
Description: partial 16S ribosomal RNA
Rfam family: Bacterial small subunit ribosomal RNA
Source: RNAcentral
UACGGGGGGGGCAAGCGUUGUUCGGAAUUACUGGGCGUAAAGGGCUCGUAGGUGGCCAACUAAGUCAGACGUGAAAUCCCUCGGCUUAACCGGGGAACUGCGUCUGAUACUGGAUGGCUUGAGUUUGGGAGAGGGACGCGGAAUUCCAGGUGUAGCGGUGAAAUGCGUAGAUAUCGAGAGGAACACCAGUGGCGAAGGCGAGUCUCUGGACAUUUCCUGACGCUGAGGCACGAAAGCCAGGGGAGCAAACGGG